CAGCGCGUAGCUAAACAGCAUAGCAUCUCCCUUACACAGAGAAGAUACCCGUGCAACUCGAGUCGCACUGA
This 71-nucleotide transfer RNA is filed under the name Sueviota lachneri (Lachner's dwarfgoby). Its description in RNAcentral is "tRNA-Val". It matches the Rfam family "tRNA". Rfam says of the family: Transfer RNA (tRNA) molecules are approximately 80 nucleotides in length. Their secondary structure includes four short double-helical elements and three loops (D, anti-codon, and T loops). The record is from RNAcentral. Lineage: Eukaryota; Metazoa; Chordata; Actinopteri; Gobiiformes; Gobiidae.